This 2402-nucleotide long non-coding RNA is filed under the name Homo sapiens (human). RNAcentral's name for it is "HSALNT0137462". The record is from RNAcentral. Lineage: Eukaryota; Metazoa; Chordata; Mammalia; Primates; Hominidae.
GAAAAAUAAGUGUGUUGAGAAAAGUUGUAUAGAGCCUCUGUACUUAGCCUCCAGCAGAGUAAGUGGGGAAACAUGCCAUUCCUCCUGUGGCAAAUGAAGGUACUGGACCCGAAAUCAGAAAGAUUCCUAAAGCUGCAAGAGCAUCUGGCACCUCUGAUUCCCACAUGGAGAGGUUGAAUAGCCCCAAAAUGUGCCACUGUCUUUCAGAGAAGACACGGACACAAGGAAUCCUAUAGCCAGACCAGAUUAAAUUCCAAAUUUCUGCAUAAAACCACGUUUAGAAGAAUCUGUGACUGACUGAUUACUAAACAGUGGCUUAUCCUUGGAAACUCAUUAUGCCUAGUGAAAUCUACCAAUAUAGGCAAGAGUUUAAUCUGCUGCAAAUGGUAAACCAUGGAAGUAGACUUGGAGUUUGGUAGUGAUGAGAACAGAAGUCUCUGUGAGCUUGUCAGCAAGGCCCAGGGCAUCUCUGUCGCCUGGAACAGCUCUGAAGAUGUUGGCCACACAAGUUCUAUUAAUCAGCACCUGCAGAGCGAGCACUCACAUCUAACUGAGUUCAGGGUCAGCAAACUGGAUUCAGUAUGUUCAAUCUAAAACUACACGCCAUUGUUAAAAGGCAGUGCAUUGUUAAUAAACAGGAGAACAAUUGUCCAAAAGCCUUCGAAAACUAGGUUUUCAGGGUUUUGGUCUACUCUAAACAAAACUGGAAAUUGAACUUUAGGAAGGAAAUUGGGAACCAUUAUUAACUAUAUUAUAUUCAAACGUGAAAUUUGCAAUUUAAUAAGCAAAGGAUGGCUGUAUGCAUGUUGUGAAAGCAAGAAAUGAUUCCAAAUGAAAGGCUAUACAUUAAAGUAUUUCAUCUUUAUCAUUUAUUUCUGUAAACUGCUAAAGCUGUGCUUUAUUUAUUGCAGUUCAUCCAUAUAUAAUUCUCUGUAGUUUAGAAAACUGCAUCUAACAUUUUUAUCCCAACUUUAUAAAUUGCAUUGAUUUAUUUCUGUCUCGUAAGCCUAAAACCAUUUAUUACAACAACAAAACAUCCUCCUAUUCUGGUGUUCCAGGAACAAAGUCUACCCGCUUACUGUGUAGGGAGCAUUGACAGAUGGCCAAAUGGGGUGAUAGCUUUGAUUUUAAUGUGUCUUAAGAGAGUAAAUGAAGCAAAGGCAAUCUUCAUCUCCUGUGAAAAGUUGGAUUUUUGUGUGGCUUGUCGGCAACACUGAGGUGCAAUUCUCACAGCACUUCAUUGAUUUUCCACUCAACCAUGACCAUUCAAACAGCAAAAAGCAGGGUCAAAGAAUUUUUAAAGUUUUUUUUUCUGUUUAUCUACAAGAGCACAAACAAAACUGACCACACUUACUUCGGUGAUAUUCCAUGGUUGCUGGUGCAAAGCCUUUGUGAGUUUCACAGGUUAUGAAUUUCUAAUUUUACAUAAAAUGAAGUGGUUUUGUCGAGAGAAUCAUUAACAUCAUAAAGACUGUAAGAAUAAAAAUUCUUCACAUCGCCCCCACCUGUGAUUUUAGCAUAUAUCAUGGAUGACAAAGCACUCUGCAUUGCUUGCUUUAAGCUCUGAAAAGGGACAGACUUCAACAGCAGGACAUGAAAUAAUGCUUGUAAUACAGCAGUAAAGUCUCAUUGCCGUAGGAUGGUGUGUUAUUCUGUACUGGGCCUCAAACCCCAAUUUAACUUUAAAUACAAAGCACCAUUUAAAUAUAAAGAUUAACUUCUUCAUCUUCAUCUUCUGUGAGAGCAUGAAAGCUUGAACAAGAAUUUGCCGAGGGAAGAUGUAACAGCUAAACUCUACAGAAAUUUUAGCCACUGGACUAGCAUUUAAAAAGGUGGAAGCCUGACAUUACCAACCUUGUGUACUGCAAAUUUGGGUAGAAUCGUACUUCUGUGGUAGUACAAAUGAUAGCUGUAGAAAAUCAUCCAGUAAUUUAGUUGGCGUAUUUGUUCUGUUAUUUAGUUGGUGUGUUUGUAUUUACAUUUCACCUUGCAGUAUGAUAAAAUGAAACAAGAACAGGCUCUGGAGACUAAAAGACCUGAAUUCUCAUCCUGCUUCUGCCUUUCCCCUGCUUUGUAAAACUGGGAACUUCCUUUGCGAAUUGGGAACUUAGCCCCUUCAGUCCAUGUUUCUUCAUCUGUGUAAUAGAAUGGUAAUAUUUUACAAGUUCCACUCAUUAGAUUAUCUGUGAAAUAACUAGUAGUGUCUGACAUUCAAUACAUUUUCGUUCACUUAGCACACGAGGCCAAUGUGAUACAAGGAAGUUUCUAUUUUAAAUCCAUUUGUUAGGAGCACGAAAUGCACACUCUUGAUGUUCAGAAAAGAAGGCUCCUACCAUGCAACACAAAGCUCCCAGCACCAGAACACACCAGUACUCCCCAGGCAAAAUGACUGUUAAGUUCAC